Long non-coding RNA from Arachis ipaensis, 604 nucleotides. RefSeq lists it as uncharacterized. The record is from RefSeq and is a predicted model, not a curated record. NCBI's taxonomy places the organism in Eukaryota, Viridiplantae, Streptophyta, Magnoliopsida, Fabales, Fabaceae.
UUUUCUUAUUAAGGUUAGAUAUUCUUGGAUUCAGCUCAUUCUCACCGAUUUGCUUUAAUUUUAAUUACCUUCAGAAAAUAUUUAAUUACUUUUUCAGCUUUGCUGAUUGGGUUUCAUUAUUCAUGUCCAUUGAAGGGUUGUCUAAGUUAGAUUUGUCUUUUAUCACAGAUUCACAAAGUAAGUCGGUUUUGCCACUGAACUGAUCUGUAAAGAACUCCAAGCACUGAAACCACUACUUAGGUACAUGUGAACACUACUUAUAUUAGAUCAUGAAGAAUGAUUUGGUGACCUAUUUCCUAACUCUGAUUUCUGAUUCAAGGGUAGAGUUUGGUGAAUUUAAUUCAAUGCAGCAACAAACACAUAUUCAAGUGGACUAGUAUUUUGUCAUGAGCUGUGGAUUUCUGAGUUUCCUGCAAGAUUUAAUUUGAUUAUCAAAACUGUGUUGGCACAAAAUCAUACACUCUAGGUUAGUUGUACACUAAUUCAUAUGUAAAGGCUGAAGCUGCUUGUAAAGCUGCACAUUCUAUAUACGGUGUAGCUUUUAUCAUAACAUGUACAUUCAUCUCUUUCAAUAAAGCUUAUAGAGGGAGUUAAGUUUCAAAAA